CAGAGAAAGAGCAGGUAAAGUUGUGCAUGAUGGGCAAAGGAAUCUCCUGAGAUACUUCAGAGGGACCAGGACUGGAGUGAACAGCUGCAUUCAAGGGAGACUGAUUGCUCAGCCUCCACUCAAGAGGCUGCCCCAGGAGCAAUUAGGAGUUAGGAAUUAAGAGACUGACCAUGUCUAAUUGAGCAAAGCUGAGAGAGACCUACAUCAGAGGAGUGGAAUGAUGGACAAGCCAGUGUGGGAAGCAGAGAGCAUUAGUGGUUCCUGAGGCUUUCUCUCCCUACGUUGCCAUUGUGGUGAAUGGGCAGAGCUCUGGCUAAUCUUUUCCCUCCCAGUUUCUUCUUGAAGCUUGUGACUUCACCCCUCCUCCCUGAGUGGACUAUGAAGAUACUCUUGUUUUCUUUCUCAGAAUAGAUUCUCUCUGUGACAGAUUGAUUCUGUGGCCUUGACUUCCCAGAAGCCCUGUAAAAUCCUUGGAUGAGUGCUCAUGGGGAGAAGUUCUGGAGCCCUUGUCCCGACCAUUGGUCCCCAUCAGCUUGCUCCACUGGAGAAGGGAGGAGUAUGGUGGAAUGCACAUGAAUGCCAAAUUCCCUUUUCAUAUACCGAGAAGGAUUCUCCUCUAAAGAACUCAGAACUUGUGGAAAUGACUGGGAGUGACAGAGAGGCAAUUUUUGGCUCGAUAAAAGGAAAACCCUUCAGUUUGGAUGCCAUGACUAGGAUGAGUUCUACUUCACUAGAGGUUUCCAAACAAAGCCUGGAUGGAAGAUAUCAUUUGAGAUGUUGUAGAAGGGAUUCGUGGACCAGUAUAGACUGGGCUAGAGAGAUGACGGCCCUUCCAACUCAGAGAUUCUGAAUUUCUGUGAAACCACAAAAUUGUGCCAGACACCAGACCCUGCAAUAAAAGUCUUGAC
This 908-nucleotide long non-coding RNA is filed under the name Monodelphis domestica (gray short-tailed opossum). Its description in RNAcentral is "lncRNA (ENSMODG00000033590.2)". Lineage: Eukaryota; Metazoa; Chordata; Mammalia; Didelphimorphia; Didelphidae. The record is from RNAcentral.